This 975-nucleotide unclassified non-coding RNA is filed under the name Melitaea cinxia (Glanville fritillary). Its description in RNAcentral is "misc RNA ENSMCXG00005008385.1". Lineage: Eukaryota; Metazoa; Arthropoda; Insecta; Lepidoptera; Nymphalidae. The record is from RNAcentral.
AGCCAAUACAGCCCAGUACGCUCACUACGUUUUCAAUACACUGGACCAAGAUCGAAGUGGAUUGCUGAGUUUUGAGGAGUUCGUCACUGGCCUGUCUGUAUUAUCAAGAGGAACUUUAGAAGAGAAAUUAAGAUGGACAUUCUCACUGUACGAUAUUAACGGUGAUGGAUAUAUAACUAAAGAGGAAAUGACUGAGAUUGUAACGGCAAUUUAUGAUCUAAUGGGUAAAAUUGUAGAACCAAUGAUUGACGACGAAGCUGUACGAGAAAAAGUCGAAAGAUUAUUUCAGAAAAUGGAUUUAAACCGCGACGGCGUGCUGACUCUGGACGAGUUCCUAGACUGCUGCCUGCGAGACGAGGAAAUCACUCGCUCUAUGGGAGUGUUCGACAGCAACUUCUGACGCCCCGCAGCAGCGCGCGCGCGACGCCGCGCUUCGUAGGGCGCCGCGAUCAGGAUACAGCGAGCAAGCUUAGGGGCCAUCCAUAAAUUACGUCACACCUAGAGGUAGGGGGUCCACAAAGUGACAUUAUGUGACAAAGGGUGGGUAUACAAAAUUUUGUCACAUCACAUUUCAAAAUAUAAUAUACAUAUAUAUAAUUGUUAGUAUUAAAAUAAUUUUAUAUUUCAUGAGUAUGGUGGAUUAUGCAUGACGUAACACUAGGGGGGGGGUCUCAUAAAUGUGACCAUCUGUGACAAAGACGGGAAAGGUUAAAAAAGUCGUGGAAUUCGUGUGACAUUAUUUAUGGAUGACCCCUUAUAUGUUACCGUUUUAUUGUGAACAUUAACAUUAUAAUCUGUACAGUAAGAACGCCAAAUUGUGAUCUUAAAUUUUACAUCAGUGAUUUUAAAUUGUCUUUUGACUUAAAAAGUUUUACAAAUAAUCUAAUACAAUCUGUCUUUUCUUCGUCAAUUUCUGAUGGUAUAAAUUUUUAAGGAUGUACACAACAAUACAGUGACAUUUAUACUGCUCAACGU